GACGAACGCUGGCGGCGUGCUUAACACAUGCAAGUCGAACGGAAAGGCCCCCUUGUGGGGUACUCGAGUGGCGAACGGGUGAGUAACACGUGAGUAACCUACCCUUGACUUUGGGAUAACUUCAGGAAACUGGGGCUAAUACCGGAUAGGAGCUCCUGCUGCAUGGUGGGGGUUGGAAAGUUUCGGCGGUUGGGGAUGGACUCGCGGCUUAUCAGCUUGUUGGUGGGGUAGUGGCUCACCAAGGCUUUGACGGGUAGCCGGCCUGAGAGGGUGACCGGCCACAUUGGGACUGAGAUACGGCCCAGACUCCUACGGGAGGCAGAAGUGGGGAAUAUUGCACAAUGGGCGGAAGCCUGAUGCAGCAACGCCGCGUGCGGGAUGACGGCCUUCGGGUUGUAAACCGCUUUCGCCUGUGACGAAGCGUGAGUGACGGUAAUGGGUAAAGAAGCACCGGCUAACUACGUG
This 465-nucleotide ribosomal RNA is filed under the name uncultured bacterium. Its description in RNAcentral is "partial 16S ribosomal RNA". It matches the Rfam family "Bacterial small subunit ribosomal RNA", at positions 28 to 507 of the family's 1533-position model. The record is from RNAcentral.